RNAcentral lists this ribosomal RNA (127 nucleotides) under Castor canadensis (American beaver). The record is from RNAcentral. Lineage: Eukaryota; Metazoa; Chordata; Mammalia; Rodentia; Castoridae.
GUCUACGGCCAUAUCACUCUGAACUCGCCAGAUCUCAUCUGAUCUCGGAAGCUAAGCCUGGUUAGUAUUUGGAUGGGAGAAAGCUGACUAACAGUCUUUUUUUUUUUUCAAUUCAAAGCUGGAAAUG